This 301-nucleotide ribosomal RNA is filed under the name uncultured bacterium. RNAcentral describes it as "partial 16S ribosomal RNA". It matches the Rfam family "Bacterial small subunit ribosomal RNA", at positions 509 to 807 of the family's 1533-position model. The record is from RNAcentral.
CAGCCGCCACGGGAAUACGGAGGGGGCUAGCGUUGUUUGGAAUUACUGGGCGUAAAGCGCACGUAGGCGGCUUUGUAAGUUAGAGGUGAAAGCCCGGGGCUCAACCCCGGAAUUGCCUUUAAGACUGCAGAGCUAGCAGGUGAGAGAGGUGAGUGGAAUUCCGAGUGUAGAGGUGAAAUUCGUAGAUAUUCGGAAGAACACCAGUGGCGAAGGCGGCUCACUGGCUCAUACUGGACGCUGAGGUGCGAAAGCGUGGGGAGCAAACAGGAUUAGAUACCCCAGUAGUCCCUGUCUCUUAUAC